Molecule: ribosomal RNA, 119 nt
Filed under: Pteropus alecto (black flying fox)
Lineage: Eukaryota; Metazoa; Chordata; Mammalia; Chiroptera; Pteropodidae
Source: RNAcentral
GUCUACAGCCAUGUCACCCUGAACAAGUCCGAUCCUGUCUGAUCUUGGAAGCUAAGCAGGGUCGGACCUGGUUAGUACUUGGAUGGGAGACCACCUAGGAAGACCAGGUGCUGUAGGUG